GACGAACGCUGGCGGCGUGCUUAACACGUGCAAGUCGAACGGUGAAGCGCCUUCCUUUUUGGUGGGUGUGGAUGAGUGGCGAACGGGUGAGUAACACGUGAGUAACCUGCCCCCUUCUUCUGGAUAACCGCAUGAAAGUGUGGCUAAUACGGGAUAUUCUGGGUCUGUCGCAUGAUGGGUCUGGGAAAGAUAUUGUUUCGGUGGGGGAUGGGCUCGCGGCCUAUCAGCUUGUUGGUGGGGUGAUGGCCUACCAAGGCGGUGACGGGUAGCCGGCCUGAGAGGGUGGACGGUCACACUGGGACUGAGACACGGCCCAGACUCAUACGGGAGGCAGCAGUGGGGAAUAUUGCACAAUGGGCGCAAGCCUGAUGCAGCGACGCCGCGUGAGGGAUGGAGGCCUUCGGGUUGUGAACCUCUUUCGCCAGUGAAGCAGGCCUGCCUCGUUUGUGGGUGGGUUGACGGUAGCUGGAUAAGAAGCGCCGGCUAACUACGUG
Molecule: ribosomal RNA, 494 nt
Filed under: uncultured bacterium
Lineage: Bacteria
Description: partial 16S ribosomal RNA
Rfam family: Bacterial small subunit ribosomal RNA
Source: RNAcentral